This 463-nucleotide ribosomal RNA is filed under the name uncultured bacterium. RNAcentral's name for it is "partial 16S ribosomal RNA". It matches the Rfam family "Bacterial small subunit ribosomal RNA", at positions 28 to 507 of the family's 1533-position model. The record is from RNAcentral.
GACGAACGCUGGCGGCACGCCUAACACAUGCAAGUCGAACGGACUUACAAGAGCUUGCUUUUUUACGUUAGUGGCGGACGGGUGAGUAACACGUGAGCAACCUGCCUCUGAGAGUGGGAUAGCUUCUGGAAACGGAUGGUAAUACCCCAUAAAAUAUACAUAUCCCAUGAUAGCGAUAUCAAAGAAAUUCGCUCAGGGAUGGGCUCGCGUCUGAUUAGAUAGUUGGUGAGGUAACGGCUCACCAAGGCGACGAUCAGUAGCCGGGCUGGGAGGUUGAACGGCCACAUUUGGACUAAGACACAGCCCAGAAUCCUACGGGAGGCAGCAGUGGGUAAUAUUGCACAAUGGAGGGAACUCUGAUGCAGCGAUGCCGGGUGGAGGAAGAAGGUGUUCGGAUUGUAAACUCCUUUUAUCAGGGGCGAUAAUGACGGUACCUGAAGAAAAAGCUCCGGCUAACUACGUG